AUCAGCGAGUCUCGCCACUCGUCGCAGACGCGAGCGGGGGGCGGGGGCGCGGCGAGGCGCCGGCGGCCGUGACGAGGCGCUCCCGGAGCUGAGCGCUUCUGCUCUGGGCACGCAUGGCGCCCGCACACGGAGUCUGACCUGAUGCAGACGCAAGGGGGUUAAUAUGAACGCCCCUCUCGGUGGAAUCUGGCUCUGGCUCCCUCUGCUCUUGACCUGGCUCACCCCCGAGGUCAACUCUUCAUGGUGGUACAUGAGAGCUACAGGUGGCUCCUCCAGGGUGAUGUGCGAUAAUGUGCCAGGCCUGGUGAGCAGCCAGCGGCAGCUGUGUCACCGACAUCCAGAUGUGAUGCGUGCCAUUAGCCAGGGCGUGGCCGAGUGGACAGCAGAAUGCCAGCACCAGUUCCGCCAGCACCGCUGGAAUUGCAACACCCUGGACAGGGAUCACAGCCUCUUUGGCAGGGUCCUACUCCGAAGUAAGUCUCCUGCCUUCACCCAGCCCUAUGGCUCUCCACUCAUGCACAGCUCCCUCACUCCAUCUUCAAAGACCCUGCUUAUCUUCUAUUGCAUUUUA
RNAcentral lists this small RNA (571 nucleotides) under Pan troglodytes (chimpanzee). Its description in RNAcentral is "retained intron". Lineage: Eukaryota; Metazoa; Chordata; Mammalia; Primates; Hominidae. The record is from RNAcentral.